UCCCAUAAAGGCAAUGCUUUUAUUUUGAAGGAGUGCCAGUAGGAGAAAAAGACGCAGGUGUGUCUUCCAAAAGAACCUAGUUUGUUUAGCACAUGGCUGAUAACGGCACAAUGACUCGAGUUCAGAAUGGGCUGGGCUUUCUGAGGAACAGUGCCGUCCAAUGGCAGCGUCGGGAUCGCUGUGUGGCUCGUCUGAUUUACGCAAACGUGGUUCAUAGUGGCUCAAGUGUAAACUACAGUACAUCGCAGGAAGGAAGAGGGACCUGGUGGUGGGGGUUGGGAGCAGGAUCCCAGACCAUAAAACCUGGCAGCCUCCCUCCUGCAUUGUUCACCACCACUAUUCCAGCCCAGUUUCACUGUUUUCUCCCUGUGCUGUGUGUAUCCUGUCCUUUAAGAGGCAGUAAAUGUUGUUGUUGUUCAUCAGACAAACAUGAAUUCUGACCAGGCUGCUCGUCUGCCUUUGUUCUUACCAUGAAGACUCUUGAAGGCAGGAAGAAGGUUGUACUAAAGAAGCAAAUUAAUAACCUGGUUAUAAAGUUUGACACAGGCCUCAUAUGGGUCCAAUCAGACACACAUUAGGUUGCAUGCAGCAUGCAUUACACUGUAUAGAAAGCACAACAAAUAUAUGCAAUUCCAGCCUUUCAGCUGGAUGCUAACACAUCCAAAUCUCCUCUUAUAGCACCACCUUCUGGUAGACUAGGUUGCUUUCUUUACAUCUUUUAAAGCAUUGACUGCUGCAGUGUCAUAUAUCACCAGAAACAGUGAAUCAAAGUGUACAUAAUAAGAAAUAUGCACAUUUUAGAACAUUUCUUUUGUGUCUUUUUACUCUGCUAAUAUGUAAUAUGUAUAACAGUACAUUUUAAUUCACAUAAUACGAAUACAAAUGUAUGUAUAACAAACAUAACAGAAAAUGUGACCACAUAAUGAAUAUCCCUGCAUCUGCAAAGCAGGUAGUGCAAAUUCACAAUCACAACCUACUUUUUAAAUGAUACUGCCACAAGUUUUGUCCAUUAAACUGUGUAAAAGCUGUUCACUUAACUUUCUCUCAUAAAUGAUUUCCCUGUUCUUAUGCGUGCGAUGAAACAUUCAACAUGACCGCAGCAGGAGAGUACAGCUUUUGUGCAGAUGCUUCUCUCUCAGUCUAUUUAUGUGAUUUAAGGCUGUCAGGGGAGCCAAGCAGCAGGCUCCAUACAGGAGGCUGGACAUGACAAUGAAGCAGAAGUCCUGCAGAAACUGCUCCCCCUGCUGGCCGGGCACAGAGGGAUCCGAAAACACUGCAAGACAACCAGAGGAAGGAAUGUGGUCACUGAAACUCUCCAUCUAGUUCCUUGCAAGUGUGUUUCUACCAUGUAACUAUAUAAAGGUGAUAUUUCCAAAGCAAGAAAGAAAAACAGAAAAUGGAUGUCAUCAACAUGUUCUUUUUUCCCCGCUAUUUUUAGUGAUUCUGUGU
Molecule: long non-coding RNA, 1449 nt
Organism: Sander lucioperca (pikeperch)
Lineage: Eukaryota; Metazoa; Chordata; Actinopteri; Perciformes; Percidae
Exons: 3
Source: RefSeq, a predicted model, not a curated record